RNAcentral lists this ribosomal RNA (302 nucleotides) under uncultured bacterium. RNAcentral describes it as "partial 16S ribosomal RNA". It matches the Rfam family "Bacterial small subunit ribosomal RNA", at positions 508 to 807 of the family's 1533-position model. The record is from RNAcentral.
GCAGCAGCCGCGGGAAUACAGAGGGUGCGAGCGUUAAUCGGAUUUACUGGGCGUAAAGCGUGCGUAGGCGGCUUUUUAAGUCGGAUGUGAAAUCCCUGAGCUUAACUUAGGAAUUGCAUUCGAUACUGGGAAGCUAGAGUAUGGGAGAGGAUGGUAGAAUUCCAGGUGUAGCGGUGAAAUGCGUAGAGAUCUGGAGGAAUACCGAUGGCGAAGGCAGCCAUCUGGCCUAAUACUGACGCUGAGGUACGAAAGCAUGGGGAGCAAACAGGAUUAGAUACCCGCGUAGUCCCUGUCUCUUAUAC